UCAGCCUCACUUCCCCCUUAGGCGGAGAGAAGGAUACAGGGAAGCUUGGUAAAAAACAGAAUUAAAGGGAAUGGGUGUCGGAAGCCGAGGGUCUGAAGUUCACGACUCAUAGAAGGGGAGGGGAAUUGAAAGGCUCUCAGUGAAGAAGGUCCAGAAUCCUCCAGAUCAAUUUACCAAUAAGUUCAAUAUGUAAAACAGACCAAUGUGAUUGAAAUGGGAACGAAUGAGAAUUAUUCCAACUUGCCAGCAGUACUUACCCCCUUUUCCACCCUCCCCAAAGGGUGUACUUUGAAAACCAUUGGAAAAACUCACCCCCUCAUGAAUGGCUUGAAAUACCCCAUCUGUAACAUGCUACAUUAAAAUGUUUGCCUAUCUCAGUUACUUUUCUGCCAGUCUCAUACUUUAAUUUAUGGAGCCUAGGACCUUUAUAAUUUAACAAAAGAAAUUGAAACAUCUAAUAAAUAACAACAUGAGAUUUGGGGAGACCCAUAAAAUUCGGAUAUUUCUUUUAAAUGUCUGUUGUUGGCAAGAGUUGAUUAAGUCCCUUCAGUAUAUAUUUGAACUAAAAUUAUUUCUUUUAAAAUUUUUUUUAACGUUUAUUUAUAUUUGAGAGAGAGAGCAUGAAUGAGGGAGGGGCAGAGAGAGAGGGAGACACAGAAUCGGAAGCAGGCUCCAGGCUCUGAGCCAUCAGCCCAGAGCCCGACGCGGGGCUCAAACUCACGGACCGCGAGAUCGUGACCUGAGCUGAAGUCGGACGCUCAACCGACUGAGCCACCCAGGUGCCCCUGAACUAAAAUUAUUUCUGAAUAACUUGGUAAAACUAUAUACUGGUUGAUAAUAUGAUAAUGUGUGUCACAAGUUUACAAUGUGGAUAUUCUUUGAUUGACUAAAUCACUUGUAAGAUUUAACCCUAAAGAAAUAACCAGAAAUGUAUGGGAAAAUUAUGCUGUUGUUUAUUAAUAGUAUUGAAGAUGUUCCAGAUUUUUAACAGUGUGGGACUGGUUAAAUGGACCCUGGCACAGCCAUAAGAUGGAAUACUCAUUAGCCAUUAUAGUGAUGUUAUAAAAAGAAAACUACCUUAUUGAGUACUUGUUACAAAUCUGGCACUGUACCAGUCACCUUAAUUGUAUUGUCUUAAGUCUCACAAUAUCCCUAGGUGAUAGGUAUCACUCCCAUUCAUAGAAGAGAAAACAGUUCAAACAGCUAGUGAAGUAGUAUUGUUGGAAUUCAACCCAUGUCUGCUCUUAACCCUUGUUCUUAAUCACUAUCCUAAUGAUAUGGGAAAAUAUUCACUAUUUACUGAUAAGCAAUUGUUUUAAUGUAGUUUAACUGACAUUGAAAUAAACAACAAGCAGAAAACUUCUGCCUGGGGUGCCUGGAUGACUCAGUCGGUUGGACGCCUGACUCUUGAUUUCGGGUAGGGUCAUGAUCUCAUGGUUUGUGAAUUCAAACCCUGUGUUGGGCUCUGCGCUGACAGGGCAGAGCCUGCUUGGGAUUCUCUCUCCUUUUCUCUCUGCCCCUCCUCCACUCACUCUUUCUCUGUCUCUCUCAAAAUAAAUAAAUAAAAACUUAAAAAAAAAAAACCACAACUUCCUCCUACAUGAAAUUCCUUCCUUUCCAAAGUUACUUAUGCUUGGUAAUGUUUCUCCCCAAAUGAAUCUACCUUUACACAUGUUUUUUAAGUUGAUUUUGGAAGUCUUAAAUGCCUGGUCUAAGAAUUCAAACAGUACCCAUGAUUAUAAAGUUGCUGCACCUUUAUUCGUAAAUUAUAUCACUAUAUAUGAGUGGAUACACUUGUAGGCUCUUUUUUAUGUUCCCUGUAUUCUAUUUCUUGCUCUGGCGUCAACUUGUAGGCAAAGUGAGGGGAGGGAUCUGAAGGUCCAUAUGGCUAACUUUCAACACAGGAGUCCCUUGUGUGUGUGGUGUAGUGCGGUAGUUAGAAGUCCUAGUUCUGGAACUCAACUGGUUAGACUGAGUCCCAGCUUUUAAAUGAAAGUGUUUUCAUUAAAAUGAAGUGGUCAUUGUAGCUACCUCAUAAGAUUGUGGUGAGGAUUAAACUAAUUGACAUGAAAAAUGCUUAGAACAGUGCCUGUGACAUAGUAAAUGCUCAACCAUCAGCUAUUAUUGUCAGGAUGAUGAUGAUGAUGCACAUGUGCAGAGAUGGGAAAGAGAAGAAAAAUUACUUAGGAGUGUUCAUUAUGUACCACAUACCUACAUGAUCUCUCCAUUUGAUCUCAGAUAUUUAUUUGUAUUCCCUUUUAUUAUAAAGGUGAGGAACUUAAAAUUCAGGGUGGUUAUAUAUGGAAGGAAUAGAAUGAAUUAUUAGACCCAUUUCUAGGACUAAGGACAAGAUAAAUACUGAAAGGUGCCUGACCAGGAGAUAGCAAAACACUGAGAAAGGAGAUGAGAAACAGACCUGUAGAGCCACACCACCCUUCGGGACCAAGGGACAAUGUUGUAAUUUUCAGGACUGAGUGGGUGCCCAACCCAAUCUGUAUCAGAAAACUGUGCUUUGGAAAUUCAACUGUUUUUACACUAGUUGUAUUUUCUGUAAAUAUUUCUUGUUUUGUUCUCCUGUUGUACGUACUAAAAUUAUUUCUGAAUUGCCAGUCUGUCUCAUUUGUACUUUGAGGGAGCCAAAAGGAAAAAAGAAUUUUCGGGUAUCUUCUGCAGGAGCUACAUGUCAGACACCAGGUGUCCUGGGCUUCAAAUGCCAGAAGCCCAAGACAGAAAAGAAAUGCAAGGAAGAAAAUCCUCUUCCCCAGAGGCUUCUACAGUGUUCUCUGCUCUAACCUUAGAAGGCUUUGAACAGUGUUGCCUAGAGAAUGGCCUUUUACUUACUCAUCCGUCCAGCAUGACUCAUCCUCAAGACUGUUGAUUUUAGUACACGUGCUACCGAAGCGAGCACAGGAGUCACAGAAUCCGAAGCAGGCUCCAGGCUCCGAGCUGUCAGCAUAGAGCCUAACUUGGAGCUAGAACCCAUGGACCACGAGAUCAUGACCUGAGCUGAAGUUGGAUGCUUAACUGACUGAGUCAUCCAGCCACCUCAAAUGUAAACUAUUAUUAAUAGUGUAAACGUGUAGUAAGUUUUUGUUAACCUCACUCUAUACCUGUUCAAGUCCCCCUUGCUCUUGGUCUCAUCCUUCUGUCUGUUGCCUCCUCCUUUCCUUAAUAAGUGUAAAUGGCUUGGCCCCCACUUGGGCUCUCUUCCCCUCCUCCAUUGUCCUUCUCUUCAACCUUCCUAACCCAGGUUUAAUGCGGCCAUCUUCUCCAUACCUAUACCAUGGCUGCAGAGCUCUGCGAAGAUGAUAUCUAUUGUACAACUUGCAUUUCUUCUACAUCAGUUCAUCCCUCAGUGUGUCCUGCAACUAUUUCUGUGUUUCUCAAACCAGAGCUUUCUGCUUAAUAUAUGUAUCAGCAAAUUUUAAGUGUAGUUUUUAUUUUUGAUAUUGUACUAUUUUGAAUAAAUAUUUUCAAAGUCA
Long non-coding RNA from Leopardus geoffroyi (Geoffroy's cat), 3482 nucleotides. RefSeq lists it as uncharacterized. The transcript has 3 exons. The record is from RefSeq and is a predicted model, not a curated record. Lineage: Eukaryota; Metazoa; Chordata; Mammalia; Carnivora; Felidae.